RNAcentral lists this ribosomal RNA (497 nucleotides) under uncultured bacterium. Its description in RNAcentral is "partial 16S ribosomal RNA". It matches the Rfam family "Bacterial small subunit ribosomal RNA", at positions 28 to 507 of the family's 1533-position model. The record is from RNAcentral.
GAUGAACGCUGGCGGCGUGCCUAAUACAUGCAAGUCGAGCGAACAGACGAGGAGCUUGCUCCUCUGACGUUAGCGGCGGACGGGUGAGUAACACGUGGAUAACCUACCUAUAAGACUGGGAUAACUUCGGGAAACCGGAGCUAAUACCGGAUAAUAUAUUGAACCGCAUGGUUCAAUAGUGAAAGACGGUUUUGCUGUCACUUAUAGAUGGAUCCGCGCCGCAUUAGCUAGUUGGUAAGGUAACGGCUUACCAAGGCAACGAUGCGUAGCCGACCUGAGAGGGAGGUCGGCCACACGGGAACUGAGACACGGUCCAGACUCCUACGGGAGGCAGCAGUAGGGAAUCUUCCGCAAUGGGCGAAAGCCUGACGUAGCAACGCCGCGUGAGGGAUGAAGGUCUUCGGAUCGGAAAACUCUGUUAUUAGGGAAGAACAAAUGUGUUAGUAACUAUGCACGUCUUGACGGUACCUAUUCAGAAAGCCACGGCUAACUACGUG